AUGAACGCUGGCGGCGUGCCUAAUACCUGCAAGUCGAGCGAACAGACGAGGAGCUUGCUCCUCUGACGUUAGCGGCGGACGGGUGAGUAACACGUGGAUAACCUACCUAUAAGACUGGGAUAACUUCGGGAAACCGGAGCUAAUACCGGAUAAUAUAUUGAACCGCAUGGUUCAAUAGUGAAAGACGGUUUUGCUGUCACUUAUAGAUGGAUCCGCGCCGCAUUAGCUAGUUGGUAAGGUAACGGCUUACCAAGGCAACGAUGCGUAGCCGACCUGAGAGGUGGACCGGCCACACGGGAACUGAACCACGGUCCAGACCCCUAGGGGAGGCAGCAGUGGGGAAUCUUCCGCAAAGGGGGAAAGCCGGACGGAGCAACGCCGCGUGAUUGAUGAAGGUCUUGGGAUCGUAAAACUCUGUUAUUAGGGAAGAAAAAAUGUGUAAGUAACUGUGCACGUCUUGACGGUACCUAAUAAGAAAGCCACGGCUAACUACGUG
RNAcentral lists this ribosomal RNA (496 nucleotides) under uncultured bacterium. Its description in RNAcentral is "partial 16S ribosomal RNA". It matches the Rfam family "Bacterial small subunit ribosomal RNA", at positions 29 to 507 of the family's 1533-position model. The record is from RNAcentral.